UACGGAGGGUGCAAGCGUUAUCCGGAUUCACUGGGUUUAAAGGGUGCGUAGGAGGGCAGGUAAGUCAGUGGUGAAAUCUCCGAGCUUAGCUUGGAAACUGCCGUUGAUACUAUCUGUCUUGAAUAUUGUGGAGGUGAGCGGAAUAUGUCAUGUAGCGGUGAAAUGCUUAGAUAUGACAUAGAACACCAAUUGCGAAGGCAGCUCUACACAAAUAUUGACUCUGAGGCACGAAAGCGUGGGGAUCAAACAGG
Molecule: ribosomal RNA, 251 nt
Filed under: uncultured bacterium
Lineage: Bacteria
Description: partial 16S ribosomal RNA
Rfam family: Bacterial small subunit ribosomal RNA
Source: RNAcentral